RNAcentral lists this long non-coding RNA (879 nucleotides) under Salvia miltiorrhiza (redroot sage). RNAcentral's name for it is "long non-coding RNA (SMIL_LNC001431)". The record is from RNAcentral. Lineage: Eukaryota; Viridiplantae; Streptophyta; Magnoliopsida; Lamiales; Lamiaceae.
AUAAGUUCAAAAUUUCAUCAGUACUUGCUUUGAUCACACUCCAGUGGAAAAUAUAAAAGAUAAAUAAACAAGGGGGAUAUCAAGUGCUAAAUCAAAAGAAUAGUCACAGAUGAUCAUAUUAUCCAAGAUGGGCAUUUUCCAAAAGUUGAACCCAAAAUAUUGAUAUCAGAGUUGCUUUCUAUGAAAGAAUUAAUCAGGACUUCAAAUAUCCACUACGCACUGUCAAAAUUUAUCUCAAAAUAAAGGAAAGAAUGCACCAAAAAGACCACAUCUCCUUUACUGAAUGGUGGAAGAAGGUUAUAUCGGGAUGAACACAUCCACACAAACCAGGAAGAAUUUCGAAAGAGAACCUGCACGUAUAAAGAUCACAACGAUCAGCACAGGAUCAAAGUUGUAGGAAUAUAAUUGAAGAAAGUUUACCACUUCCAGAAAGUUGCAUUUCUGUACUGAACAGUUGUACUUGUGACUGUUUAAGCAGAAAACAACUAAAAGAAACAAAAUCCCACAGACAAGUGAUAAUGUCUCACAAUUAGGAGCAGCUUUCAGCACAAAGAAAACACCGUUAUGGGACUAAUGCUAAUCUAUGUAAGCUCCUCAAAUCAACGAUAAGGAAAUAUGCUAUAGAAGUUUCAGGGGUAAAAUAUCGAGACAGAUCAGUUAAAGAAAAGUUAGAACUAAAGAGUAUAAUUAGGACUAACCUCUAUCAGUUGAUCAUCAUGCUCAGGCCUGUAACAAACAUCCACACACAAAAGCUGAUCUAGGUAUCACUUUCGUAUUUUCCUGAAAUGUAACAUAAAUCUCUUUCCAGCCAUCUUGCUGUAUGAUGUGAAUAAGAUGAUAAAUCUCCUCAUGUAGCAUUUGCUGAGCUGGUCUCUUUGG